This is a long non-coding RNA of Fundulus heteroclitus (mummichog), 670 nucleotides long. RefSeq lists it as uncharacterized. The record is from RefSeq and is a predicted model, not a curated record. Lineage: Eukaryota; Metazoa; Chordata; Actinopteri; Cyprinodontiformes; Fundulidae. The transcript is spliced from 6 exons.
CAGUUCACCCUCCAACAUUUAGCCGAUACACAACUUCCACUAGGAAACGAAGGACCGAAGGAGACAAUGAUUAACUCCACCAAUCUCCUGACCAACCUCAGCCUCAGUGGAUAUCCUCACUUCCUCUGCACCAGACUGGGUUUCCCAAAGGAGUCUUCAGAUUUACAAGAGAUCAUUGAUUCUAAAGUACUGACUUCCAUUCUCUGCGUCUGUUCUGAGAAAUCUCCUUAAGAACCUCCACACCGCUUCUCUGACCGCACUCCUGCCUGUACAUCCUCCAAAGUUGGUUUCACCAAUCAAAAACUUCAAGGACAAAAGACCAAGUUUCUGGAGGCAGAUGCCAGGUUGUUGUCCUCACACAUGAGUCUGUUUGAAGAACUCUCCCUAAGACUCUCCACACCACUCCUCUGGCCACCCUCCUGACUCAAAGGCUCAUCUGUAAUUUAUUGGUCACUCACCUCCUGGUGCACUCUCCAUCGCCCAAACCUCCAACCUUGAAGAGAAGGACAGAAGGAGACAAUAACUAAUUCAACCAAUCAUCAAUCUGCUGCCAACCUCAGCCUCUGCUGAUGAGUUCACCACCUGUGCACCAUGCCGUCCUGGAUUCUUGAUCUAAAACAAGAAGAAUCAUCUCACUGUGCAGAUUUACCAAUAAACCUUUCAAACUUUC